Molecule: ribosomal RNA, 497 nt
Filed under: uncultured bacterium
Lineage: Bacteria
Description: partial 16S ribosomal RNA
Rfam family: Bacterial small subunit ribosomal RNA
Source: RNAcentral
GAUGAACGCUGGCGGCGUGCCUAAUACAUGCAAGUCGAGCGAACGGACGAGAAGCUUGCUUCUCUGAUGUUAGCGGCGGACGGGUGAGUAACACGUGGAUAACCUACCUAUAAGACUGGGAUAACUUCGGGAAACCGGAGCUAAUACCGGAUAAUAUUUUGAACCGCAUGGUUCAAAAGUGAAAGACGGUCUUGCUGUCACUUAUAGAUGGAUCCGCGCUGCAUUAGCUAGUUGGUAAGGUAACGGCUUACCAAGGCAACGAUGCAUAGCCGACCUGAGAGGGUGAUCGGCCACACUGGAACUGAGACACGGUCCAGACUCCUACGGGGGGCAGCAGUAGCGAAUCUUCCGCAAUGGGCGAAAGCCUGACGGAGCAACGCCGCGUGAGUGAUGAAGGUCUUCGGAUCGUAAAACUCUGUUAUUAGGGAAGAACAUAUGUGUAAGUAACUGUGCACAUCUUGACGGUACCUAAUCAGAAAGCCACGGCUAACUACGUG